This 61-nucleotide small RNA is filed under the name Brenneria salicis ATCC 15712 = DSM 30166. RNAcentral describes it as "isrK Hfq binding RNA". Lineage: Bacteria; Pseudomonadati; Pseudomonadota; Gammaproteobacteria; Enterobacterales; Pectobacteriaceae. The record is from RNAcentral.
GCCAAGUAAUCCGGCUGUGCUGGUACAGAUAAAUAAAAACCGGCUGAUUGGCCGGUUUUUU